UAAAACUAAACUUCGGAGCCAAGCAGUCACGGUGGGAAAAUGACCACUUAAAGAUUGCCAAGAGAAAAGACAAGCACGUUGAACUUCAAAUGGUGAUGGAGAGACCAGGCACGGGGCAAGGCCUAGGAGAGUGGUUACCCAUGGGGUUUUCAAGUUAACAGUCUUGGAUCAAAAGGCAGAGUCUUUUUGUUACUUUGGUUGUGACCUCAGACAAAUCAUGCAAUUUCUCUCAAAGUGAUUUAUGUCAUCUCUGCCAUCAGAAUAAUAGCACCAUGUACCCGCACUGGUAACAUUUAAGGCAGCUGUAAAUGUUAUAUUUAUUUCUGUGAUUCUUUAAUAUUUGUCUCCUCUUUCAGACAUUAAGUUCCUUUAAAUCAAGGCCCUGCUCAUCCUUAUAUCUCCAGCAUCAAUCACAUGCCUGGCACACAGCAGGCACUCAAUGAUGAUUUGUUACAUAAGAUCCUGUUAUACUGGAAAAUUAUGGAGAGCAAAUGACACAAUCGAUACAGUGUUUAGCCCAGUGCCUUCACAGAGGCAAUCUCCAAAACAUGUGAGAUCAUUGGUGGUGUUAUAAUUAUUAUUUGCAUUAGAUCAUGUCUGUUAAGUAAAUAAAUUCCAGGCUCUUUCAGGAUAAAGCUCACUAAGUAACUCCAAUUGGGGGACACUAAGGAACUAUAUCUUAUUAGUUCAAUUUCUAGUGGUCAGGCCUAAGGAAAUCAAAGUUUGGCUUCUUAGCCAAAAUAGCAAUUCAUCAGUUUGCAAUAGAAGAUACAUAUAUUUUUUAGGAGUUAGGACCUUCUGAAAUCAAUGUAGUUGGAACACAGUAUUAAUAGUCAGAAAGCUGCUUGUGAGCUCUGAAUCAGAACAGAGGGCACUGUCUCUAUGACCCUGUGGCACGUGUGAGACAGGCCACACACUUACCUGGAUUCCACAAUUCUGGUACCUUUCUGGUGGCUCACAAGUUUGUAUCCACCAAAUACCCCCAAACACAAGGCCUCUCUCUCUCUUACCCUCACCCUGAGAGAAUGAAAGAUGAAUGCUGCCAGAUCUGUCCUGUCUACGCCUAAUAUAAUUUUGAGGCUGAAAGGAACCUUAGGGAACAUCUAUUUCCCUAAACCUGACACCUAUAUAAUAGAUGACAAAAGUGAGUCUCAAAGAAGUGACUUUCCCAGGGAAAUACAGAUGGAUGGUAACAAAGCAAGGGCCUCAUCUUAGUUUCCUAACUUCUAGUCCUUCCAGAUCAUUCUUCAGCUUUAUCUGAUAUUCCCUAUUGUGGUAGUCUGAAAAACGCUCCCCCACUCAUUAUUCACCUCCUAAUCCCUGGCUCCCAUACAUGUUACCUCAUAUGGAAAAGUGUCUUUGCAGGUGUGGUUAAGUUAAGGAUCUUGAGAUGGGGAGAAUAUCCUGGAUUAUCUAAAUGAAUCACAUGUUUCUUUAUAAGAACUAGGGAAAGGGGGAUCAGAAACACACAGAGGAAAAGGUGAUGGGAAGAAGCAGCAGACAGAUUUGAAGAUGCUGGCUUUGAAGACUGCAGUGAUGCAGCCACAAAUCAAAGAAUGCUGGCCGCCAUCAGGAGCUGGAGGAGUCUAGGCGAAAAAGAACCUUCCACUAUCUCUUACUGUGAAGCUCAUUACUGGACCUUUUACAAUCUGUGGAAUCCAAAUGAAGCAAGCACCACCAGGUCUCAGAAGGGAGUGCAGCUCUUCCUAAUAAGAUUUCAAUCAGGCAAUAUAAAAUCUGGAGCCACUAUGUAGAGACAGCUGGUAAUAGUAAAGCAGCCGCAGAAGAAAUUGGAGUAAAAAGAUGCGAAGAGGCCAAAUCCUGAUGACAUUUGCUGAACUGUUGAACCGUUUGGUCUAGCCAGCGCUGCUUCAGGUUUUCCAAGUUUAUAAGCUGGUAAGUCUAGGCUGACACGAAGGCAAUCCUCCUACAGUCCUUUCCUGUGUUGGUGAUGGAUGAAGUUGGUUUGUCUAGAGUGAGGACACAAGGGGUGAGACCAAAUUGAAAGGCUCCUAAGGACAAUGGCCCUUUGUCCUUACACCUGUUGAAGGGGGAAGGCGCCCUUGACAGAGACCUGGUAGGGUUUAUGCGAGGCCGUGCAGUUCAGAUUUCUUACCUGCGUCUCUGACGAUACAUCCCGUUUCAUAAUAUGCCUUCUAGCAAAGGAACUUGGAGACGGAGCCCUCAGUGUUCAAAGGGAAAGGAGCAGAUCCAAGCUUUACUUGAGAAGAAUGAUAGAAUAUAGAAAUCCAUGCUUUUGUGGUUAGUGCUGUCAAGUUGGUUCCGACUCCUAGAGACCCUGUGUACGGAAAUCCAUGUAGAAGAGCAAUAUUACAAAGUUGUGGCAUGUUCCAGCUCUCGACAACACGCCAGCCACAAGUUCCAUGAGGGUCCUGCUCUUCCCUGGUCCUCAGCUUCUAGCUCAGCACGAGGCACAGAGUUAAAUCUCAACAGAGGCGAGACUUGCUGGAUGAACACACCUCCAGGACUUUGCUAAAGAAAAG
This 2504-nucleotide long non-coding RNA is filed under the name Equus caballus (horse). RNAcentral's name for it is "lncRNA (ENSECAG00000049862.1)". The record is from RNAcentral. Lineage: Eukaryota; Metazoa; Chordata; Mammalia; Perissodactyla; Equidae.